RNAcentral lists this ribosomal RNA (472 nucleotides) under Acinetobacter baumannii. RNAcentral describes it as "partial 16S ribosomal RNA". It matches the Rfam family "Bacterial small subunit ribosomal RNA", at positions 30 to 506 of the family's 1533-position model. Lineage: Bacteria; Pseudomonadati; Pseudomonadota; Gammaproteobacteria; Moraxellales; Moraxellaceae. The record is from RNAcentral.
AUUGAACGCUGGCGGCAGGCUUAACCAUGCAAGUCGAGCGGGGGAAGGUAGCUUGCUACUGGACCUAGCGGCGGACGGGUGAGUAAUGCUUAGGAAUCUGCCUAUUAGUGGGGGACAACAUCUCGAAAGGGAUGCUAAUACCGCAUACGUCCUACGGGAGAAAGCAGGGGAUCUUCGGACCUUGCGCUAAUAGAUGAGCCUAAGUCGGAUUAGCUAGUUGGUGGGGUAAAGGCCUACCAAGGCGACGAUCUGUAGCGGGUCUGAGAGGAUGAUCCGCCACACUGGGACUGAGACACGGGCCAGACUCCUACGGGAGGCAACAGUGGGGGAAUAUUGGGCAUUGGGGGGAACCCUGAUCCAGCCAUGCCCCUUUUUUAAAAARGCCUAUUGUUUUAAGGCCUUUAAGSGAGGGGGGGGUCCCCAGUUAAACCAAGGGAARGGGCCUUCCCCCAAAUAAAACCGGUAACUUUUC